This 555-nucleotide ribosomal RNA is filed under the name Colletotrichum graminicola. Its description in RNAcentral is "eukaryotic LSU rRNA". The stretch from base 183 to 336 matches the Rfam family "5.8S ribosomal RNA". The record is from RNAcentral. Lineage: Eukaryota; Fungi; Ascomycota; Sordariomycetes; Glomerellales; Glomerellaceae.
GGGCUGCAACGUGCAGCACUACACCCUUUGUGACAUACCUAACUGUUGCUUCGGCGGGCAGGGGGUCCCCCCGGGGACGCCCUCCCGGCCCCGCCCCCCUACCAGGGGACGUGGCGCCCGCCGGAGGAUACCUAACUCUAUUUUAACGACGUUUCUUCUGAGUGGCACAAGCAAAUAAUUAAAACUUUUAACAACGGAUCUCUUGGUUCUGGCAUCGAUGAAGAACGCAGCGAAAUGCGAUAAGUAAUGUGAAUUGCAGAAUUCAGUGAAUCAUCGAAUCUUUGAACGCACAUUGCGCCCGCCAGCAUUCUGGCGGGCAUGCCUGUUCGAGCGUCAUUUCAACCCUCAAGCUCUGCUUGGUGUUGGGGCCCUACGGUUGACGUAGGCCCUCAAAGGUAGUGGCGGACCCUCCCGGAGCCUCCUUUGCGUAGUAACUAACGUCUCGCAUCGGGAUCCGGAGGGACUCUUGCCGUAAAACCCCCCAAUUUUUCAAUGGUUGACCUCGGAUCAGGUAGGAAUACCCGCUGAACUUAAGCAUAUCAUAAGGCGGGAGGA